Molecule: long non-coding RNA, 2327 nt
Filed under: Nicotiana tabacum (common tobacco)
Lineage: Eukaryota; Viridiplantae; Streptophyta; Magnoliopsida; Solanales; Solanaceae
Description: long non-coding RNA (NTAB_LNC005419)
Source: RNAcentral
CUCCUUUUUUCCUACACCCCAUAAAAGGCCAUAGUAUAAGGGAGUUUUUCCAAUUAAAGGACAAUCGAAACGGGAUUUAUUUAUUUAAAGAUUCAGAGUCGCCACUUGGGAGAUUUAUGGUGUCCCAAGUCACCGGUUCAAAAUCCCGAAUCGAGGAAGCUGACUCUUAUUUACAGUCUGCGAACACAGAAAUUCGGGUAAAGAAUUCUGUUAACCCGGGAGAAGGUGUUAGGCAUUCCCGAGUUCCGUGGUUCUAGCACAGUCGGUUUGAUCAUACUUGGCUUUAUUAAAAUUGUUUAAUUACUCGAUUUUAGAACCUAUGUGCAUUUGCCUCUUUUAAUUAGAAAAUUAUCUUGAAAACAGGCCACGCGUACGUGUACCUAUUUGUUUGGCGCGUCAAAAUCAUGUCACGCGAACGUGUCCACAAUUGAUAAUGCUUUAUUAUUAUUAAGGAAAAUCUGGCCAAUGUUGCACGAACACAUAUUCCAGUUUUGUUUUUAGAAAUCGCAGUCAUGUCACGCAAACGUGUCCACAACCACGAUAGCAGAUUAAACGUACAUCAACAACACUUGAACUCCCAUCAUAAUACGACACCAUAGAACUGAAAGUUCCCUCUAAUUUUACAUGUCAAUGUAUAUAAAUCUGACUUCAACUGAUAAUAAAGGACUCAAUUAUCCCAGAACCUAGACAUAGUUGAGGAUCACAUAAUCAGAUCAAUUAUCAGUCACACACUGAUCCAUCCAUCAUUAAAUAGGACAAGUAAAUUGAAGAGUUCAAAUCUCUAACAGACUCAUAUCAAUAGCCUUAAAGCUAUGAUCUUUUUUCGUUCCACCCAUUUUUCUCAAGAUCAAUAUUAAAUAAACAAGGGAAACCAAAUAGGGCUUUUUCGAAUAAUUAACAGAUCCAAAUUUAGAAACAUUUGUCAUUUUUUAUAUCCAGGUUACGAAAUUAAUACGAUGGUCAUGAAUGAUUAAAGUGUAGAUGGCACACCUCAAACUAUAUAAAUUACAUUAAAUUAAUAGCCUAUGAAAACCCAUUUUAUUAUUAUGAGAAGAUUUGAUCGAAGAUGCGCGAACGCAUACUCCAAAUUGGUUCUAGAAUCAUAAUUAUGUUACGCGAACGUAUACACAAUCACAAUACUAGUCUAAAUUGAGCCUAAAGCAAACUACGAAUGUACAAUUAUUUUCCUAAAGCUAAUUUGAGAUUGUUGUGGAGGCCAAAGUUAUAGAAAUUAUUAUAGAGAAGUAUAAGAUUUAACUACUUUAGAAUUAACUACCUUAGAAUUAACUUUUAUGGAACAUUCUUUAUUAACUAAGAAAAUGAUGUAACUUAUAUCUAAACUCAUAUACACGUAGAAAGAUCAAUUCUUCCAAGAUUCCAUACGACCCCCUUAGCAUGAAAAUAUGUUGGAAACUUAAAAAAUCAAUAACAGAUCCAACAAUUAACAAACAAAGGGAAUCAGUCCAAUCUUCACGACAAAAAUAGAAUAAACAGACAUACACCCAUAUAUUCAUGCAUCAUAUACUAACAAAGAGAUAGGGUGAGAAAUGAACCUUCACGAUAUUGUUUCGACGCUCAACUAACAAAUACGGACUCGAACAGAAAACGUAGCAGCGCCGGGACCUCGCCGGAAUCUCGAAAGGAACUAACAGCCAACGAACAAAGCUCUAGCUGAACCCGAUCUCAACAGAAACGUUACCUUUGUUGCAGCAAUAACAGAGAAGAGACAAGACGACGGAAAAUGGGGGGUAGUAGCCGUCGCCGGUUUUCUGGUUAAGCUCGUCGACGAUCUGGUGGGACAGAAAACGAGAGAGAGCAAGAGAGCCUUUGAGAGAAGGCAGCUGUUACUUCUCCUUCCCGUGUUUGUCAAAGAGCAAGGAUAUCGAGAGAUUGACUCUUGUUUCUUGGUGCAGAGAAUAACGACGAUGGAGGUUCCUCCAAUUUUGGGGAGAAGUUGCUGGUUCUUGGCGAGGUCUGGUGGGGGAAAAAGGCUGGUUCCGGCGUGAGCUUAUGGAGAUGGAGCUAAAUUCUGGGGUUUUGUGGUGCUCUCCAUGAAGAAGUUCCAGAGGUUACGCUGGAGGGGUGCUUGGAGAAGACGACGCGGGGUGGUCCGGUUCGUCUAUUGCGGCGCUGUUUUGUAUGUAUCUGCCUUCAGCGUUCUUCUUCUUGCUGGUUCGACGAAGUACAGGAGGGGUCGUUUUAGAGGUAGGGUCGUUUGGAGAAGAUGACUCGCAAGGGGGUCGGUUUUCUCUGGUAUUCUUUUGAAGAAGAUGAUGCACAUCCCUUUAGCUGCUCUUUAGCUGCUGCUUCUUUUCGUUCCUUUUAGC